GGACAUAUUUGGUCACAGCCUGGCACGUCACGGCGCGGAGGAGGCUCCGCCGCGGAGCAGGAAGCGCGGGAGUCGCGUCACCCGUGAGCUCUGGGCGCCUGCGGGCGGCGACCCGGAGGCCCGGGUGGGCGACCUGGUCCCGCCCCGAGCCUAGAGCUGCCUGCCUGUGCAGAGGCCAAGCAUGGAAGGCAACUACCUGGAAGGAGAUGGGAGUGAGCUCCUCGUCCAUCCGUUCCUUCGGGCUGAGUGGUGAAGGAAGGGAGGAAUUUUAGCUUUUUUUGCCUUAAAGAAGUUGGGAUGUCCAAAUAGCUGGUGGGCUUGCAUAGACACUAAAUAAAGGCCGAGAGAGUAGCCUAGAAAAACCCAUGUUUGACGGUAUUCGUGCUGAGAUAGUUUAGUUUAGCGCCUUUACCGCUAAAACAGCCCCCAGCACCCACGCCGGCCACGCCUGGUGGAAAUGUUCAUCUGUACGAUCACAGGGAUGAAUGGUUGGUUUCUCCAGAGUCUGAAACAGUUCCUCAUCCACAGUUUGAUAAUCUGUCAAGAGAACGGGUUGCUUUGGGAUAGAGAAGGAGGAGGUAGGUACCCUUUAUUCAGCCCACUCUGCCUCUGUGAGGCCAACAAGGAGGCCAACGCCUGGAUAGUUGAUUGACCCAAACUUCUCAAAGCAGGCUCCUCUUUUAAGUUAGUUAAGGCAUUCACUAACUAAACCAAGCCUGGUAUGGUGUCAUCAGCACGGUAAUUAGUCCCAGUUCUUGAAGGUUGGAAGCAGGUCCGCUGCCCCUUCUAAGCCGGCCUGCAUAGCACACAGAAAGCUGGGGAUUGCUUGAGCCCAGGAGUUCAAGGCCAUCCUGAGACACCCACUUCAGGAAGUUAAUUUUUUUCAGGCGUUGUAUAUAUACUUUCUAUUUUCUUUUUUCCUUCCCUCCUGCUUCCUCCUUCUCUCCCUUCCUCCCGUUCUUUUUUGUUUCUUUGAGAUAGGGUCUAGUGUGUCCAGGCUGGUUUUGAAUUCUCUAGUAGAAUUGGCAUUGAACUACUGGUCCUUCCGUCUGUCACCCCAAGAGCUAGGAUUCCUGGGGCGCACUUCUUUGGCUUGCAGAACAGCAUUAUUUAAUGUCGCACUCUGAAGAAAUGAUGAGUCACCUGAACUCCUAGUAUUUAAAACAUCCAUUCAAAUGACAAGAGGCAGGCUCUCCACGCAGUGAACAGUCCUGGCCAGGCCUGACUUUCACCAGUCGCAUUCCGUUCCAGAGCCUUUUGAACAAGCAGCAAGGACCAUCUUGCCAGAGCAAGUGGUGAGCUCUCAGAUCACUGUGGUAACAUGGAUUCCAGGUUUCUGCCUCGGGAGCCCGGAGCUGAGAUGGGUUGGUACCCUCAGCCAAAACUCCCGGACCAGUGGAGAGAGCAGAGUUGGUCACCAAAGAUGAAUGACUUACCAACCUGUGGCUAUGCAGGAAGCCUCCACUUAAACUCCUUCGGAUGGAAUUCAGUUCAAUUCUCGGUUGGGAAGCCCAGAGCACAGACAAGUUCUAGCAGCAGAUGGCCAUCUCCAGUUCUGUGAGUCAGCCUAGCAGUCGGACAUGGGAACAAAGGCCGGCAGAGCUGCAAGGAGAGAAGGACGCUUGGUCUUCACAGCCACGUGGACAGAAGUGUGGAUAGGCUGAGUACUCGACGCUUUUCUUUCUUUCCCUUUUACAUUUAGUUCACUUGUGUUGGGGGCAGGGCAGGGGGCACUCACGUGCCACAGACAUACAGUCUGAGGAUUGCCUGUGGGAGUUGGCUCUCUCUUCACUGUGUGGGGUCCAGGGAUCAAAUUCAAGCCAUCAGGGUAGACACCAAGUGCCUUUACCCACUGAGUUAUCUUACCAAUGUCCCAGGUACUUUACAGUAUUUAUUUUAUGAGCAUGGGUAUUUUGCCUGAGUGUGUGUCUAUGUAUGUACCAUGCUUGUAUAAUGCCCACAUAGACUAGAAGACGGACAUGAGUUAUUUCCGGGGUGUGAUGUUACAGAUGGUUGUGAUUCUAGAAAUCGGACACCAGUUCUCUUGAAGAGCAGCCAGUGCUCUUAACCUCUGAGCCACCCACCCACCUUUCCAAUUACCCCACCUGCCUCUCCUAACACUUUUUUUUUUUUUUUUUGAGUCUUAUGGAACUGAGCUCUUCAGACCGUGGCUUCUGACACUUUCUCUGGGUAGCAACGGAAUCGAAUGGGAUUGUAGGAUGUCCAGCUGGCAUCUGGAGAGCCGGAGACUGAGUUGUUGGUGCGAGGAAACCCCACACAACUAAGCAUCAGAAGAGCUUUGAAUGAAACAAGCCAGAGUAAUGUAUUCUGAUCUCUAGGUUAUUUGUUUACUUGGGAACAGAAGACAAAGAACUCUGCAGCUGGCUGUUUUGUUCCAUUCCAGGUUCAAAUAACAGAGAGCA
Long non-coding RNA from Apodemus sylvaticus (European woodmouse), 2423 nucleotides. RefSeq lists it as uncharacterized. The record is from RefSeq and is a predicted model, not a curated record. The transcript is spliced from 4 exons. Lineage: Eukaryota; Metazoa; Chordata; Mammalia; Rodentia; Muridae.